CCUACGGGAGGCAGCAGUGAGGAAUAUUGGUCAAUGGACGAGAGUCUGAACCAGCCAAGUAGCGUGAAGGAUGACUGCCCUAUGGGUUGUAAACUUCUUUUAUAUUGGAAUAAAACGUUCCACGUGUGGGAUUUUGUAUGUACCAUAUGAAUAAGGAUCGACUAACUCCGUGCCAGCAGCCGCGGUAAUACGGAGGAUCCGAGCGUUGUCCGGAUUUAUUGGGUUUAAAGGGAGCGUAGGUGGAUUGUUAAGUCAGUUGUGAAAGUUUGCGGCUAAACCGUAAAAUUGCAGUUGAAACUGGCAGUCUUGAGUACAGUAGAGGUGAGCGGAAUUCGUGGUGUAGCGGUGAAAUGCGUAGAUAUCACGAAGAACUCCGAUUGCGAAGGCAGUUCACUGGACUGCAACUGACACUGAGGCUCGAAAGUGUGGGUAUCAAACAGGAUUAGAUACCCCAGUAGUC
Molecule: ribosomal RNA, 460 nt
Filed under: uncultured bacterium
Lineage: Bacteria
Description: partial 16S ribosomal RNA
Rfam family: Bacterial small subunit ribosomal RNA
Source: RNAcentral